AACGAACGCUGGCGGCAUGCCUAACACAUGCAAGUCGAACGAGACCUUCGGGUCUAGUGGCGCACGGGUGCGUAACGCGUGGGAACAUGCACUUAGGUUCGGAAUAACUCCCCGAAAGGGGUGCUAAUACCGGAUAAUGUCUUCGGACCAAAGAUUUAUCGCCCUUGGAUGGGCCCGCGUUGGAUUCGCUAGUUGGUAGGGUAAAAGCCUACCAAGGCGACGAUCCAUAGCUGGUUUGUGAGGAUGAUCAGCCACACUAGGACUAGGACACGGCCCAGACUCCUACGCGAUGCAGCAGUGGGUAAUAGUGGACAAUCGGCGAAGUCCUGAUCCAGCAAGGCCGCUUGAGUUAUGAAGGCCUUAGGGUUGUAAAGCGCUUUUACCCGGGAUGAUAAUGACAGUACCGGGAGAAUAAGCUCCGGCUAACUCCGUG
Molecule: ribosomal RNA, 433 nt
Filed under: uncultured bacterium
Lineage: Bacteria
Description: partial 16S ribosomal RNA
Rfam family: Bacterial small subunit ribosomal RNA
Source: RNAcentral